Molecule: ribosomal RNA, 2491 nt
Filed under: Glaciimonas sp. PCH181
Lineage: Bacteria; Pseudomonadati; Pseudomonadota; Betaproteobacteria; Burkholderiales; Oxalobacteraceae
Description: bacterial LSU rRNA
Rfam family: Bacterial large subunit ribosomal RNA
Source: RNAcentral
GGGGACCAUCCUCCAAGGCUAAAUACUCGUAAUCGACCGAUAGUGAACCAGUACCGUGAGGGAAAGGCGAAAAGAACCCCGGAAGGGGAGUGAAAUAGAUCCUGAAACCGUGUGCAUACAAACAGUAGGAGCGGACUUGUUCCGUGACUGCGUACCUUUUGUAUAAUGGGUCAGCGACUUACAUUCAGUGGCAAGCUUAACCGUAUAGGGAAGGCGUAGAGAAAUCGAGUCCGAAUAGGGCGUUCAGUCGCUGGGUGUAGACCCGAAACCAAGUGAUCUACUCAUGGCCAGGAUGAAGGUGCGGUAACACGCACUGGAGGUCCGAACCCACUAAUGUUUGAAAAAUUAGGGGAUGAGCUGUGGGUAGGGUGAAAGGCUAAACAAACUUGGAAAUAGCUGGUUCUCUCCGAAAACUAUUUAGGUAGUGCCUCAAGUAUCACCAUCGGGGGUAGAGCACUGUUAUGGCUAGGGGGUCAUUGCGACUUACCAACCCAUUGCAAACUCCGAAUACCGAUGAGUGCGAGCUUGGGAGACAGACGCCGGGUGCUAACGUCCGACGUCAAGAGGGAAACAACCCAGACGCCAGCUAAGGUCCCAAAGAUUGGCUAAGUGGCAAACGAAGUGGGAAGGCUAAAACAGUCAGGAGGUUGGCUUAGAAGCAGCCAUCCUUUAAAGAAAGCGUAAUAGCUCACUGAUCGAGUCGUCCUGCGCGGAAGAUGUAACGGGGCUAAGCCAGUCACCGAAGCUGCGGAUAUCAAUUUAUUGAUAUGGUAGGAGAGCGUUCUGUAAGCCUGCGAAGGUGUCUUGUAAAGGAUGCUGGAGGUAUCAGAAGUGCGAAUGCUGACAUGAGUAGCGAUAAUGGGGGUGAAAAGCCUCCACGCCGUAAGCCCAAGGUUUCCUGUUCAACGUUCAUCGGAGCAGGGUGAGUCGGCCCCUAAGGCGAGGCAGAGAUGCGUAGCUGAUGGGAAGCAGGUUAAUAUUCCUGCACCGUCGUGUGAUGCGAUGGGGGGACGGAUCGCGGAAGGUUGUCCGACUGUUGGAAUAGUCGGUUUUUGGCUCAGAGAAGGCUGUUAGGCAAAUCCGGCAGCGUAAUUCAAGGGGUUGAGACGAGUGAAUUUAUUCACGAAGCAAUCGGAAGUGGUUCCAAGAAAAGCCUCUAAGCUUCAGUCACACGAGACCGUACCGCAAACCGACACAGGUGGGCGAGAUGAGUAUUCUAAGGCGCUUGAGAGAACUCGGGAGAAGGAACUCGGCAAAUUUGUACCGUAACUUCGGGAUAAGGUACGCCCCGGUAGCUUGACUGGCUUGCGCCAGAAGGGUGAAAGGGCUGCAAUAAAAAGGUGGCUGCGACUGUUUAAUAAAAACACAGCACUAUGCAAACACGAAAGUGGACGUAUAUGGUGUGACUCCUGCCCGGUGCUGGAAGAUUAAAUGAUGGGGUGCAAGCUCUUGAUUGAAGUCCCAGUAAACGGCGGCCGUAACUAUAACGGUCCUAAGGUAGCGAAAUUCCUUGUCGGGUAAGUUCCGACCUGCACGAAUGGAGUAACGAUGGCCACACUGUCUCCUCCCGAGACUCAGCGAAGUUGAAAUGUUUGUGAUGAUGCAAUCUACCCGCGGCUAGACGGAAAGACCCCAUGAACCUUUACUGUAGCUUUGCAUUGAAUUUUGAACCAAUCUGUGUAGGAUAGGUGGGAGGCUUUGAAGCGUGAACGCUAGUUUGCGUGGAGCCAACCUUGAAAUACCACCCUGGUUUGUUUGAGAUUCUAACCUUGGUCCGUUAUCCGGAUCGGGGACAGUGCAUGGUAGGCAGUUUGACUGGGGCGGUCUCCUCCCAAAGUGUAACGGAGGAGUUCGAAGGUACGCUAGGUACGGUCGGACAUCGUGCUGGUAGUGCAAUGGCAUAAGCGUGCUUAACUGCGAGACUGACAAGUCGAGCAGGUACGAAAGUAGGACAUAGUGAUCCGGUGGUUCUGUAUGGAAGGGCCAUCGCUCAACGGAUAAAAGGUACUCUGGGGAUAACAGGCUGAUUCCUCCCAAGAGUUCAUAUCGACGGGGGAGUUUGGCACCUCGAUGUCGGCUCAUCACAUCCUGGGGCUGUAGCCGGUCCCAAGGGUAUGGCUGUUCGCCAUUUAAAGUGGUACGUGAGCUGGGUUUAAAACGUCGUGAGACAGUUUGGUCCCUAUCUGCCGUGGGCGUUGGAAAUUUGAAGGGGGCUGCUCCUAGUACGAGAGGACCGGAGUGGACGAACCUCUGGUGUACCGGUUGUCACGCCAGUGGCAUUGCCGGGUAGCUAAGUUCGGAAGAGAUAACCGCUGAAAGCAUCUAAGCGGGAAACUUGCCUUGAGAUGAUAUUUCCCGGGAACUAGAUUCCCCUAAAGGGUCGUUCGAGACCAGGACGUUGAUAGGCUGGGUGUGGAAGCGUAGUAAUACGUUAAGCUAACCAGUACUAAUUGCCCGUGCGGCUUGUCCCUAUAACCUUAGCAGGUUAUAU